CACAUUUUAAUUCAUCCAACCAUACACCUUACUAACGGCCAAAUAAUUUGGACCGUCGGAUCCAAAUCCAAAACUUCACUAUAUGUUGACAUCUUCAGCAAAUUAACAAAUUACACUAAAACUUCUGAGUUCUUCAUUUUUCUUUUCUUUAUGCUCUCGAUUCACCAGAAGCUCAUCUUCUUCCCCUUUAUGAUCGUCGAAUUUUUCAAGUAUUUCUUGAAUUCUCUCAAGAGUACUCGCAUAAUUUUUCCUCUACAUGGUAUAUAUUCAAACAAGUGGUCAAAAACUACAAGGUAUUUUCAACAUAUUAUCAAACCAAAAUUACUCUUAGUUUUGUUUGUAAACAAGUUUCAAUAA
Molecule: non-coding RNA, 357 nt
Organism: Vicia faba (fava bean)
Lineage: Eukaryota; Viridiplantae; Streptophyta; Magnoliopsida; Fabales; Fabaceae
Source: the annotation of a GenBank genome assembly